UGAGUACGAGACGCUAAGGCGUUGAAGUAGUGGAUGUCAUACUUCCAAGAAAAGCUUGCACUGCCAUAAAUAAAAGAUGCCUGUACCAUAACCGACACAGGUGGGUAGGUAGAGUAUACUAAGGGGCGCGAGAUAACUCUCUCUAAGGAACUCGGCAAAAUGACUCCGUAACUUCGGGAGAAGGAGUGCCUUAUUCGUAAGGCUGCAAUAACAAGAUCCAAGCAACUGUUUAUCAAAAACACAGGUCUCCGCUCGUAAGACGAUGUAUGGGGGCUGACGCCUGCCCAGUGCCAGAAGGUUAAAGAAGUCGGUUAGCAUUAGCGAAGCUGGUAACUGAAGCCCUGGUGAACGGCGGCCGUAACAAUAACGGUCCUAAGGUAGCGAAAUUCCUUGUCGGGUAAGUUCCGACCCGCACGAAAGGCGUAAUGAUUUGGAUACUGUCUCGGAGAGGGGCUCGGUGAAAUAGACUUGUCUGUGAAGAUGCGGACUACCUGCACCAGGACAGAAAGACCCUAUGAAGCUUUACUGUAACUUGAAAUUGAAAUUGGACUUUAUUCGCGCAGUAUAGGUGGGAGGCGUUGAUUAUAAUCUUGCGGGAUUAUUGGAGCCAUCAGUGAGAUACCACUCUUGUAAUGUUAGAUUUCUAACUUUGAAUCAUUAUCUGGUCAAAGAACAGUUUCAGGCGGGCAGUUUGACUGGGGCGGUCGCCUCCUAAACGGUAACGGAGGCGUACAAAGGUUUCCUCUGAACGGGUAGAAAUCGUAUCUAGAGUGUAAAGGCAUAAGGAAGCUUGACUGUGAGACCUACAAGUCGAGCAGGGACGAAAGUCGGUCUUAGUGAUCUGACGGUACUGAGUGGAAAGGCCGUCACUCAACGGAUAAAAGUUACUCUAGGAUAACAGGCUGAUCUCCCCCAAGAGUUCACAUCGACGGGGAGGUUUGGCACCUCGAUGUCGGCUCAUCGCAUCCUGGGGCGGUAGUACGUCCCAAGGGUUGGGCUGUUCGCCCAUGAAAGCGGUACGCGAGCUGGGUUCAGAACGUCGUGAGACAGUUCGGUCCAUAUCCGGUGUAGGCGUUAGAAUAUUGGGAGGAGCCUUCUUUAGUACGAGAGGACCGAGAAGGACAUACCUCUGGUGUACCAGUUAUCGUGCCAACGGUAAACGCUGGGUAGCUAUGUAUGGAGUGGAUAACCGCUGAAAGCAUCUAAGUGGGAAGCCCACCUC
RNAcentral lists this ribosomal RNA (1222 nucleotides) under metagenome. Its description in RNAcentral is "bacterial LSU rRNA". It matches the Rfam family "Bacterial large subunit ribosomal RNA", at positions 1564 to 2800 of the family's 2925-position model. The record is from RNAcentral.